AAAGAUAUUGAAGUGAAUGUGUUUCUGCAGACACUUAGAAACAGCUGGCAAUAGUGAUGCCAUUUUAUGAGCCUGAAGAACAACUGAAGCCAUUACUGUCCCUCAAACUGGCUACAAUA
RNAcentral lists this small nucleolar RNA (119 nucleotides) under Jaculus jaculus (lesser Egyptian jerboa). RNAcentral describes it as "Small nucleolar RNA SNORA33 (ENSJJAG00000009808.1)". The record is from RNAcentral. Lineage: Eukaryota; Metazoa; Chordata; Mammalia; Rodentia; Dipodidae.